RNAcentral lists this small RNA (127 nucleotides) under Marmota monax (woodchuck). Lineage: Eukaryota; Metazoa; Chordata; Mammalia; Rodentia; Sciuridae. The record is from RNAcentral.
GCCAGGCGCGAUGGCACACACCUGUAAUCCCAGCUGCUUGGGAGGCUGAGGCAGGAGGAUCGUGAGUUCAAAGCCAGUCUCAGCAACUUAGCGAGGCUUUAGGUAACUUAGCAAGACCCUGUCUCUA